Saccostrea cuccullata (small rock oyster) is the source of this 1536-nucleotide long non-coding RNA. RefSeq lists it as uncharacterized. The record is from RefSeq and is a predicted model, not a curated record. Lineage: Eukaryota; Metazoa; Mollusca; Bivalvia; Ostreida; Ostreidae. The transcript is spliced from 3 exons.
UAUUGGCCCAACGUUGGCCCAGCUUAAUAAAUGUUGACAAUAUAAUGAUGCAUUGCUCUGUGUUGGGCGUGCUUGACUGAACUGGAGUUGGUCCAAUACUAGGAAUACUGGGAUUACUAGUGCAAGUACAAGUAGCCUGUAAUGUUUGAGAUGAAAUGCUGGUCCAACGUUGGCCCAAUGUUGCGAAAAGUAUUCAUCAAUUUAGAUUUAUCUAUUGUAAAUCGAUGGUAAUGUAAUAAGCAACUAAUUAUAAACAUGUGAUCUAUAUUAUAUAUUGAAUGGAAAUUAUGAGACAAUCCUUAUAAGUCUGUGAAAUACAUAUAGUAAUUUUAUAUCUUGGUAGAUUCUAUAUUAAGCAUCAUUGAAUCAAAUUUAAAGUGCUGUGUUUUGCAAGUUUUGGGCUCCAAAAUAAAUAGGUCACUGGUGAAAUUCACUGGCUCGGCAGGUGACUCAUAGGUCUCCAAGGAAACCGUCAUCUUUAAAUCAGUUUUUUUUAACCGCGCACUUUAACAAUUCAAAGCGUAUGUGUCUGUUUAAGUGAAAGCAAGAAUUUUAAUCCUUUCAAUGAAUUGGCGGGCUUGAACAGAGCAGAUAUGUCCGGAUCUGUAAGUGAACGCAAGAAUGUUAACCAGUGAAAUGAAUUGCUGGGAUGGAAAAACCCUCUUCACUCUGAGACUAUUGAUGUGGCAUUUCUGUAUAUGGAAGGGACUGAUUUAUAUGUGUGGGAAACAUGGAUUCUAAGAACAGAUAAACAACAGAAAAAGUGAUAAGUGAUGCAAAUAUGACCUUUCAAAACUCUACAGUUAGAACUUGAAGAUUCUUAUAUCAAAGUGAUAUUUAGUAGUGGACAUAGUGAUGUGGAGUGUACUUGAGAAACAUUGAACUUUCUACCUCUUCCUUCUUUUAGUUACAUUCCAUGGAAUACUUUAAUGAAAGUGAAAGUGGCAAAGAAUAUAUUGUGAUACAUUUUAGGAGGAAAAAAGUAUUUGACCAAACAUGGUGAAAUUAAUUGUGUCGUAUAAUUUGGGAAAUAAAAAUUACAGAAUUUAAAUAAUUUUGUAAGACAUUUGUAUUGAGGAAUAAUUGUGUCAUUGAUAUUUCAAGAAACAGCUUUGUAUCAACGUUGAACCAACGUAAUAACUAUAUUUUGAACUGAGGUCCAAUGUAGGGCCGACGUUACAAAAUAUUUGGUUGGCAUCGGUACAUUGGAAUAACGUUGGACCAACGUUGGCAUUUCAACAAAAGCGUUGUACCAACGUUGGACCAACGUCGGACCAACGUCAUGAUUAUAUUUUGAACUGAGGUCCAACGUUGGGCCAACGUUAAAAAAAUAUUGCGUUGGCGUUGGUAUGUUGGAAUAACGUUGUACCAAUGUUGACAAAUGAACAAACAGUAUUGUACCAACAUUGGCCCAACAUGUUGGGCCAACGGCGCGCCAAUGAGCAGUAAGACAUUGGGCCAACGUAAAACUGCCAACAUUGGCCCAACAUAACCGACAUUGUUGGGCCAACGUUGGGCCAAUGUCCUCAUGCUAUC